CAGCCGCCGCGGUAAUACCGGCGGCCCGAGUGGCGGCCACUAUUAUUGGGCUUAAAGCGUCCGUAGCCGGGUUGGUUAGUCUCCCGGGAAAUCUGGUCGCUUAACGAUCAGACUUCCGGAGGAUACUGCUGGCCUAGGGACCGGGAGAGGCCGAGGGUAUUCCCGGGGUAGGGGUGAAAUCCUGUAAUCCCGGGAGGACCACCUGUGGCGAAGGCGCUCGGCUGGAACGGGUCCGACGGUGAGGGACGAAGGCCAGGGGAGCGAACCGGAUUAGAUACCCGGGUAGUCCUGGCUGUAAACGAUGCGGACUAGGUGUCGGGCAAGCUAAGGGCUUGUCCGGUGCCGCAGGGAAGCCGUUAAGUCCGCCGCCUGGGGAGUACGGCCGCAAGGCUGAAACUUAAAGGAAUUGGCGGG
RNAcentral lists this ribosomal RNA (414 nucleotides) under uncultured microorganism. RNAcentral's name for it is "bacterial SSU rRNA". It matches the Rfam family "Archaeal small subunit ribosomal RNA", at positions 459 to 872 of the family's 1478-position model. The record is from RNAcentral.